GGUAGUGUGGCCGAGCGGUCUAAGGCUCCAGUCUCUCUGGAGGCGUGGGUUCGAAUCCCACCGCUGCCA
This is a non-coding RNA of Acipenser ruthenus (sterlet), 69 nucleotides long. NCBI's taxonomy places the organism in Eukaryota, Metazoa, Chordata, Actinopteri, Acipenseriformes, Acipenseridae. The record is from the annotation of a RefSeq genome assembly.